CUGGAACCCCAUAUGACCUCAUACAUUCAGAAUAAGCAGUUCUAAGAACAAAUGCCUCUCCACUUGAACUUUUAAAACAUCCUGUUCCUCUUCUCCCAGACACCUGGAUACACUCUCAUCUUAGCAGCAACAGAACUAUAAGGCGAAUGACAAUCUCCAAGAAGAACACAAGGCAUGACAAAAGCCUUGGACUGCAGCCUGGUUUUCUAACUCUGGAUGCCUUCAAAGCACCGAAUGAACACAGAAGCUAUGCAUUCACAAGGAAGAAGGCCCCGGCCACCCAUGAGCAGGACUCUCGCCAUCCAUAA
RNAcentral lists this long non-coding RNA (308 nucleotides) under Rattus norvegicus (Norway rat). Its description in RNAcentral is "long non-coding RNA NONRATT031523". The record is from RNAcentral. Lineage: Eukaryota; Metazoa; Chordata; Mammalia; Rodentia; Muridae.